Molecule: ribosomal RNA, 426 nt
Filed under: uncultured Providencia sp.
Lineage: Bacteria; Pseudomonadati; Pseudomonadota; Gammaproteobacteria; Enterobacterales; Morganellaceae
Description: bacterial SSU rRNA
Rfam family: Bacterial small subunit ribosomal RNA
Source: RNAcentral
UGGGGAAUAUUGCACAAUGGGCGCAAGCCUGAUGCAGCCAUGCCGCGUGUAUGAAGAAGGCCCUAGGGUUGUAAAGUACUUUCAGUCGGGAGGAAGGCGUUGAUGCUAAUAUCAUCAACGAUUGUCGUUACCGACAGAAGAAGCACCGGCUAACUCCGUGCCAGCAGCCGCGGUAAUACGGAGGGUGCAAGCGUUAUCGGAAUUACUGGGCGUAAAGCGCACGCAGGCGGUUGAUUUAAGUUUAGAUGUGAAAUCCCCCGGGCUUAACCUGGGAUGGCAUCUAAGACUGGUCAGCUAGAGUCUUGUAGAGGGGGGUAGAAUUCCAUGUGUAGCGGUGAAAUUGCGUAGAGAUGUGGAGGAAUACCGGUGGCGAAGGCGGCCCCUGACAAAGACUGACGCUCAGGUGCGAAAGCGUGGGAGCAAACA